AAGUCGUAACAAGGUUUCCGUAGGUGAACCUGCGGAAGGAUCAUUAAAGUGUUCAUUUUUGGCUGUGCGCCUCCGGGCUGCACGCCGAAAACCACUCUCCACACCUGUGCACUCUUUCGACGAGGGAGAAAUUCCUCGCCGCUUUUAUCACAAACGUAUCAGUCUAGUAUGUAAACCUAUAAAUUAUACAACUUUCAGCAACGGAUCUCUUGGCUCUC
Molecule: unclassified non-coding RNA, 218 nt
Filed under: air metagenome
Description: partial contains small subunit ribosomal RNA, internal transcribed spacer 1, and 5.8S ribosomal RNA
Rfam family: Eukaryotic small subunit ribosomal RNA (bases 1-46)
Source: RNAcentral